AUUGAACGCUGGCGGCAGGCCUAACACAUGCAAGUCGAGCGGAUGAAGGGAGCUUGCUCCUGGAUUCAGCGGCGGACGGGUGAGUAAUGCCUAGGAAUCUGCCUGGUAGUGGGGGAUAACGUCCGGAAACGGGCGCUAAUACCGCAUACGUCCUGAGGGAGAAAGUGGGGGAUCUUCGGACCUCACGCUAUCAGAUGAGCCUAGGUCGGAUUAGCUAGUUGGUGGGGUAAAGGCCUACCAAGGCGACGAUCCGUAACUGGUCUGAGAGGAUGAUCAGUCACCCUGGAAAUGGACAACGGUCCAACCCCCAAGGGGGGGCGGGAGGGGGAAAUUUUGGCAAAGGGGGGAAAGCCUGACCCACCCAGGCGGGGGGGGUGAAAAAGGUUUGCGGUUGGUAAAGCACUUUAAGUUGGGAGAAAGGGCAGUAAGUUAAAUCCUUGCUUUUUGGAGGUUCCCAAAAAAAAAAGCACCGGUAAACUCGGU
This 483-nucleotide ribosomal RNA is filed under the name uncultured bacterium. Its description in RNAcentral is "partial 16S ribosomal RNA". It matches the Rfam family "Bacterial small subunit ribosomal RNA", at positions 29 to 506 of the family's 1533-position model. The record is from RNAcentral.